AGAACGAACGCUGGCGGCAGGCUUAACACAUGCAAGUCGAACGCUCGUAGCAAUACGGGAGUGGCAGACGGGUGAGUAACGCGUGGGAACAUACCCUCCGGUUCGGAAUAGCUCAGGGAAACUUGGAUUAAUACCGGAUACGGCUGAGAGGCGAAAGAUUUAUCGCCGGAGGAUUGGCCCGCGUUCGAUUAGCUUGUUGGUGAGGUAACGGCUCACCAAGGCGAUGAUCGAUAGCUGGUCUGAGAGGAUGAUCAGCCACAUUGGGACUGAGACACGGCCCAAACUCCUACGGGAGGCAGCAGUGGGGAAUAUUGGACAAUGGGCGCAAGCCUGAUCCAGCCAUGCCGCGUGAGUGAUGACGGCCUUAGGGUUGUAAAGCUCUUUCGCUCGGGACGAUAAUGACGGUACCGAGAUAAGAACGCCCCGGCUAACGUUCGCGCCAGCAGCCGC
RNAcentral lists this ribosomal RNA (450 nucleotides) under uncultured bacterium. RNAcentral describes it as "SSU rRNA". It matches the Rfam family "Bacterial small subunit ribosomal RNA", at positions 26 to 518 of the family's 1533-position model. The record is from RNAcentral.